RNAcentral lists this signal recognition particle RNA (265 nucleotides) under Candidatus Dormiibacterota bacterium. Its description in RNAcentral is "signal recognition particle sRNA large type". It matches the Rfam family "Bacterial large signal recognition particle RNA". Rfam says of the family: The signal recognition particle (SRP) is a universally conserved ribonucleoprotein involved in the co-translational targeting of proteins to membranes. Archaeal SRP consists of a 7S RNA and homologues of the eukaryotic SRP19 and SRP54 proteins. Lineage: Bacteria; Bacillati; Candidatus Dormiibacterota. The record is from RNAcentral.
CCGCGCUAGACGGGGGACUGGCGGUACCCUGCACCAGCAAUCCGCCUCAGCUGGGUUGAAUUCCCGCUCCAAGGCUCGGCCCUUCGGGUCAGACCGAGGCAGAAGGUAUUGAAGGCCGGGACCUGCGCAGGUUGGGCCCCCGAACCCCGUCAGGACCGGAAGGUAGCAGCGGUAAGGGGAUUUCCGGCGGUGCCGCAGCAAUUCGGGCCGGAGCUGGACGCUUCGGGCGCGCCGGGGGUGCCGCAGUCGACGAGAGGGUGCGCGG